GACAGAGGUGCCAAGCGUUAGGCGGAAUCACUGGGCUUAAAGCGUGUGUAGGCGGACUGGUAAGUACCUUGUGAAAUCCCACGGCUCACCCGUGGAACUGCUGGGCAUACUGGGCGUCUUGGGCCAACUAGGGGCAGCCGGAACAAGCGGUGGAGCGGUGAAAUGCGUAGAUAUCGCUUGGAACGCCGAAGGUGAAAACAGGCUGCUGGGGUUGCGCCGACGCUGAGACACGAAAGCCAGGGGAGCAAACGGG
RNAcentral lists this ribosomal RNA (253 nucleotides) under uncultured bacterium. RNAcentral's name for it is "partial 16S ribosomal RNA". It matches the Rfam family "Bacterial small subunit ribosomal RNA", at positions 524 to 776 of the family's 1533-position model. The record is from RNAcentral.